Sus scrofa (pig) is the source of this 7942-nucleotide non-coding RNA. NCBI's taxonomy places the organism in Eukaryota, Metazoa, Chordata, Mammalia, Artiodactyla, Suidae. The record is from RefSeq and is a predicted model, not a curated record.
CCACCUCUGUUCAGUGUUUGUUCCCUCGGGCUGAAAUGUUCCUACUUUGCCAGCUACUCUAACUCUUCUCGUCCUUCAAAGUCCAACUUUAAUCCCAUCUUUGGGAAGCCUCGCAGUUAGGACUCCCGGUUACCUCUGAACUCCUGUACUUCGGGCUUGCCCUCCAAGGUAGCUCUGUAGGACAUCUGCCUCCCCCAUUGAACCAGAGACUCCUUAAUUAUAAAGGAGUAGGAGGAGUGAUGAAUAUUUGUAAUGCAAUUUGGAUUCAUAGGGGCCUCUGCAUACAUCAGACCCUUGUAGAGUCCCCUUGAGGUUGAUAACUUUCCAUUUUACAAAUGUGAAAACACAACAGUUAGACUAACUGGCCUCAGGUUACACAGGUGACAUGAUGGGGGGUGAGACUGGUGAGCAGGACCACAAGCUUAGGCACUUAGGAUGCACUGUGCCCCCUGCUGAGUGUGGGGCCUUGGCAUGCUCCUCUCUGUCUCCCCAAGGACCUGUAGCCAGCGGUAAAUAUUUGUGGAGUGGAACUGGGCAGGAGGUAGAUAAGAAAGGAGUUAGUGAGCUGAGAGCUCUAAUCCCACCCCAGGCCCAAAGGUCAAGGGGAGAACCUCCCUGCAAGCUGGACCUCCUCUGAGGCUCCCAACGAGAGGUCAAGGGGGGCGUCUUCACUGUGUCCUCUACGAUUUCAUUUCUUGAAGGGAUUGGGACAUAAACGAAUGCCUUAGACCGUAGGACUAAGAAAGAGCCAGUCAUGAGACUAUUGAUAAUUUAGAUUUCCUGAUUCCUUUAAAAAUUUAUAUGUACUAUUAAGAAUUAAUAACCUAUAUUUAUUCUAAUGAAGUGGAAAAUGAGUUUGUGAAAAACCCUUUCUGUAAAUUGAAAGCUUUCACUAAUUUUAUUAACAUAUGCAUUUUUUUCCUUAAUGAUGCUUUAAAAGUAUUUUCUCAUACCUUUCUGUCUCUUUAACUUUCCUUAUAAUUGUUUUACAAACUGUAAGGUAAGAAAUAACAAACAUCAUUAUUUAUAGAAAUUUAGAGAAAACUCAUAUGCUACAGAACAUAUGAACACGUGCUCCUAGGAGGUUGGAAAUGUCAGAGAGAACCAGAGGGCAGGAAACCACUGAGAGGUGGGGCCUGCAUUCUGCUGACCCAGCCCAGACGCUGGGUUCUGGGAGCUGGGAAUGGGCCAGCUGCUGGGGGUCAGGUCACUCAGGAGAGCAGGUGAAGCAGGGCGUUCCAGCACAGUGAUGUAGAACAGGGUGACCAUCUGUCCCAGGUUUAGCUUCAUGAAAGCCCUGUGUCCUGGGAAACUUCUCGGUCCCAAGUAAACGGGCUAUUGGCCACCCUAUUGAAGAGCCAUCCAAAACAAGGGUCAUAAAAGAAUGUUCAAACUAUGCAGGUUUUUAGUGGUCAUUGGUUUAUCAGUUAUCAUUAGCAGGUGUCCUCCCUUUGAGCAUUAGAAGGUUAAAAUUUGACCUUGUUUAGAGAAAAGACUCUUGCAGCAGUUCUAUCAAUACAUAUGGAAUGCUGCUCAUGAAAUUCAAUCCUUUUCCCUCUCCCACUCAUGGCUGUGUGUUGUUCGGAAAGUAUGCAUGAACUUAGAAGUAUGUGACACGUGCCCACGUUCAUAACCUUGGCGUUUAAAAUCCAAGGUUAACACUAUUUGCCUUAGAGUGAGGUCAAGCAAGCGCUAUGGAUCAUGGAAUCACACGCCAUGAGGACACUGGACAGGUGUUCGUGCAAGUCCUGGGGGUCUCACCCUGAGGAGGAGCCUCUGUCCCAGGGUCUGGAUUUGCUCCCAGAGAGGAACCCCCUCCUCAGGGGAGGCCAGAGGUUCUAUGGGGAUUAGCAGGCCUAGGACUUUCCUUUCCAUCUUAAGGGAAAAAAAAUAGUUGUCUUAUUUUUUCUUUUUUUUCAAAAAUAGAAACUAUAUAUAGACUCAGAACUGGAAACAGAAAAAGAGGAGUAGAGGAUUCCUCUGGUUCUUAGUCUUUAUCAAAGCAAAUUUCUCCCUUUCUGCUCUUCCAAGCAUCAACGUCUCUGAUAACAUUUUAACUUCUAAUAUUAAAAAAUGAAUAUUGUUGCUUUCUAUUCUUUAACAGUUAAAUGUUUUGUGUCCCUAGGCAAGUCUCUCAGGAAGAUGCAUAUGCUAUGAACUACUUAAUAACAUUUGAAAUGGCUGAAACAUGACUAUAUACAGGAAUAUAGUAAUACAGAUAUAUUACCUAGAGCCUACAUAGUUCCCAAACUCUGUAAUUUUUGUGUGUAGACAUAUCUAUACAUCUCUGUGUGUGUAUGUAUGAAGUUAUACAUGCACAUAACACAUAAGAAGCUGAAGAAUCACACGGAACAGUGAUCAGCUCUGGGGCAAAAGAGAGAUGAGUUCUGGGAGGAGGUUGGAGGAUAAGGACGGCCCCUCGAGCGCCCUUCCGCAGUGACCUUUUAGUCUGGCCAUGUUCUUCACCCCCUGCCCCCACGCUGCUACUCCUCCUCCCCAAGAAGGUAUUAGGUGCCAGAGAGGCCCAGACCUGAUGGUUUAAGGUAGGCCUUUUGGGCUACUCUGCGGAGGUCUGAAUCUUGGACCUGCCACUUUCUGCCUGUGUGACCAUGACCUAGGUCUUUAAUUGCUCAACGCCUCCGUUUCCUCAUCAUUUCCUUUAUAGGGUUAUGAGCCGUGAAGGAAUGAAGACACUUAGAACACUGCUUUUCACUUAGAAUGUGGCUGACUCAAACUCUCUGGAGCCUUCGUUCCAGCUGAAGUUCUUCUGAUGACUGUGAAUUAGAAUUGCUGGUCCCCACUGCCAGGCCCAGACCGCAAUUUAGUUGAGGGCAGGAAAACAUCUCAUCACUGGUAUGCUUUAGUGCUUAGAACCGUGUGCAUUUAACAUUAUUGGUGUGGAUGUAUCUAUCCCUUUAACACAGGUUAUUAAACCCUUAUUAAACCCAGACAGUGUGGCAGAUUCUGGGGCCUCACUCGUGAGGGCGGCAUGCACAAUUCCUGCAGUAGAACAGUUGGGACUGUGGAGUCUGGAGCUAGACUGCCUCCACCUGGCUCCACCAGUUCCCACUGUGUGAUCCUGGGCAAGUUACUUAACAUCCCUGUGACUUAUUUUCAUCAUUCGUCAACUGAGGACAACAAUGACCUCCAUGUCAUAGGACUGUGAGGAUUGUGUGAUAAAUCAUAUAAAUACAUGUGAAGAGAGGAAGUGUACUCACAGCAGGCGCCUGAUGUAUGCUAAGCACUAUGAAGAUGGUCUAUCAUUUCUUUAAGUUGGAAUCUAGGAAAUAGGUGGGGUAUUUCGUGGCUAGAAGAAGGAAGUUAUGCAGCACUGAAGAGACACAUGGAAAGGGAAGCAGAGGACCAGCAUCGCUCUACUUCGUUGGACACCUGGCUUGAUACAUUUCACGGUCAAAUUUACAAUGCUUGGGGAAUAGGCAUGUGAAUUAUGGGCCAGGAAGAAGUCUUGGGCUUUUAGAAAAAUGAAGACCCAGAAGUGGAGAAGUGUGCCCAGUGUUUUCUGCAGCAGGAAAUCUAGUGACAGUCACCUGGUGCAGGGAGUUAGAGAUGCUGGGGCCCGUCUCCCUCUGACACAUGUUUCCAACACACCUGACCUGGGAAGCAGCAGGCAUAACCGCUCUCCUAAAAGGUACAAGCAUGUACUAAAAUAAAAUAUAUUUUCAUCAAGUCUAAAUAUAGCUCCCUAUAAGCCGUACAUGCCGGAGAAAGCUAGCUUUAUAUACUGUAAUAAAAAUGUAUUUAAAGUGAAAUAAACCCUUUAAUUCAUGCUCAUCUUGAGACAUACAUACCAAAGUGUAAAUGUUUAAAAACAAGGCAAUAAAGACAUUUUUAUGGUUGAUAAACUACAAAUUUGUCUGGGGAAAAAAAAUCAUUCAAUGUUUGACAAAAGAGCUGUGAUAAGAGAUAAAGAACACAGUCUUCCCUGUCUAAAGAACCAGAGGGGGAAAUACAGCUUGUCCCUAGUCCCACAUUUUCAACUAUGUGUGCUAUGAUUACAGUUAUAAACAAUGGAUACUGUGUCAGUGAGGAGAAAAACAAACAAUAGGUCUUUUUCUGAAAGUAUCUGUAGGAAGAACAUACAAAGUAGUCAACAAGGGAACAGAAAUAAUCCUUGUAUUCUUUGUAAAAAUAAUACUUUAAGAUUCAUUUGCAAGAAUGUUGGUAUUCUUUUCCACUGUGCAUCUUAUUUUCCUUCAUUCACUAUAGAAUUUUUCCCAACUUGCACCUGGUUUGACCAGCAGUCAGCUGGCUUCUGAGGAUUCUCCCUUUGCAUUCCCUCCAACCCCCAGAGACUGUCUUUGACAGCUGCACAACUGUGCUUUCUUCAGUUAUAAAUGCAAGCUUGUGACACCCUUUGCUUGAUUCAGUUAAAAACCGAGUUAAAUGAAAUCAAUUCAACAAAUACUCCCUCAGUGCUUACUGCGCUGAAGGCACUGUUGGUUUGGGAGGGUACAGACGGAGAGGAGUGAGACAUAGUCUUCAAGGAGCUUACAGUCUACUUUGGGGUACAAGACGAGCCCAACAGAAGCAAGGCAGAAUGUAUACUUCAUAGGGGAGACAAUGAUGAAGUGUCACAUUAGUUUAGAGGAAAAGGGCUGGAUGGGAAUGCCGCCGGAUAAGAGAAGGGCUCACCUAAGAACAGCCUCCAAGCACCGGGGCUUCUGUGGUUGGAGGCGGGAGCGGGAAGAAGGUGGUCUUCUGUCGACGGACAGAGUGAGAGCAGAGUGUGGAGUGGGAGUCACAGAGGGGUCGUCCAGCAUGACUGGAGCCCAGAGUGCCCCUCUGGGGGGCGAAGGAUAGGAGAGAGGGUGGCCGUAGAGGCCUCAUAGCUGACAGACAGACGCAGCAUCUGGAGCUGAGAGGAACCUUCUAAAGGACAUGAGUGAGGAGCAGUGACUUCCCACACCUCUUUGUGCCUGCGAUGGCACAGAAGGGGGCCGAGGGCAGGGCAUGGGACAGAGUGGGGACAUGGCUGUCCAGAUGGGGAGACACAGGGACCCGAGCCAGGGCUGAGAAAGGACAUGGGGGGGGCACCUGGCCAAGGAGGAAGAGGUAGAACAGGACAUGGGGCUGAGAAAGGGACUUGACGAGAACCCUUACACACUGGCCCAAUUCUCGGUCCCAGCUCUGACACAGAUUUUGCUGAGGUUCUAAAACUGAGGGGUGAGUUUGUCCUCAUUAACUUUUAUUCUUGUUAAUACUUUUAACCUUUGAAGUCUAAUCAGAAAAAAGCAGAAAAUAGAUCAUUUUACCUCCUCUAAGAAACUAAAUUCAGAUUUCAUAAGGAAGCACAUUUUUUCAGAGUCCCUUGUGUUGCUCUGCGGGGCCUUUAGAUAAUUUCCAGACACACAGUUAACCUUCACAAUUACUUCAGUGCAUUGGGCUCUUUGCUUAAGAGCCCAAGUGUCCUCCCCUGGGGCCUGUCUGAACACUUGAGUUUAUGCAACUCUUUACAUCAGUUUGUUCCUUAAUCUGUAUUUUAGUUUUAGGAACCUCAUGUUGCUGGCUGGGUCCCACUUUCACGACUGGGCUCUGAAGAAUAAACACCUGUGCAGAGAUUGGGACUUCGGGUUUAGUCAAAGAAUGUUCAUAUCUUCAUUUGAAAUUCUAUUUAUAUUUUAUUUAGACAAGUGUUUUGGCUCCUAAUAGGCUCCUAAUGAGUUGCUGCUGGUAAGGUUUACAGAUUAGAAACUUUCUGUUAGGAUGGCAAUGGGUGGUUUUUCAUUUGCCAACUAUUGAGAAGAGAAAACUAAUUUAAUGCAGUCUAAACACAGUUGCAUUAUUAAGACCUGCAUUAGAAACCUACCUUCUUCUAUUGUUGAUUGACCCUGUCUACUUAGAGGAAUCUUUCUUAUUUUUGGAUUCUGUUAUGUCUACUUUAUAUCAAUGAACUGUACUGCCUUUGUAGCGCUACCAGAUUGAACUUACAAAAAUAAGCGACAGGCCACCUGGGAGUCUGACUGUGUAAGCAUUAACCAAGCACGUCCUGGGGACCAGUGCACCAGCAUUUAUGUAAACCGGGUGUGAAUGCAAGCCCUUGUUAGUCGUGGGCUCUGUGCGCAGGGCCCCAGGAACGGCUGACUUUCUUUCGAUGCCAAUGGCUUGACGGCUGCAUUUAAACACACUUUCACAAAACUCAUCUAUAUCUUUUCCCAAAGAAACCAAGAUGGAGUUAGCUCGUUGCGGGGCUAGGAUGGAAAACUUCCUAGCAGCAAAUGAAAUGGAAUAGCUGCUGUUUCCUGGAAAAAGAACCCAGGAAGGACUAGCAGUCUGUGAACUCAAAGUGUUGACUGAAGUACUUGGCUACAAUAUAUAGCAGGCAAGGACAUCCAGUCUUUAAAGGUAUCAGAUAAUAAAUGGCAGGGAAAAAAACAUCCAGUUCACUUGUUAUUCUCCAAUAUAUUAUGUAACAAACGCCUAAGCAGCGAGAGACACAGUCUCUUUUUUGCCAUUGGUCUAUGAUGGAUUCUUAAAACACCGUGUUAAAAGCUAAAUGUUCCCAUGUAGAAUGGCAUUGCCUGAAACCGUAAGUCCUCACUACAGCUAUUGUGCAUUUGUGAGCAAACUGCUCAUCAGUUCAUCUCGAGUUGCCUCCUCUUCAACAAAAUCAUGUUAGACAUAGAACUUAGUGGUACAGAUGAUGCUUUCUUUGAUCACACAAAAGGGCUUUAUACAAGAAUUGUAAAUCUCCACUUCAAUUUGUUUUGGCAAAAUGUUUUCUGUAGUGUCAUUCCAUUUCACUGUCUUUGACAUUUUUUUACAAUUAUCCUCUCCUAUCUCGUUAGACUAAAAGGGGAUGGUCUCUACUGUUUCAAAGGAAAGUGUGUUGGUUGCUUACAGGAUGAAUAAAAAUGUAAGAGAUGCUUUUCAAGUUCUAGCAUACAUUCCUCAAUUGGUCUUAGUAAAUAUGGACAAUGAAUAGCAUUUGAAAGAUCUUAAGCUUCAUGCUUGCUUCACAAAAAGGAAUUCUUUCCUCACUACUGAAGGGUAUCUGGAUGGACAAUGACAACUGUUUCCUGGACCUCAGACACAACACAGGAGCAACAUACAAAGCUAGACAUGAACUGCAGUGCAAUUGCAACGAUUGAGGGAACAAGACAAAGCAUACGAAGGGCUACUUAAAGAAAAUAGGGAGGCUGCCUUUUAGAACCAUAGAAUCAAAGACUCUUCACAUUUCCAACCAGAUAGGACCUCUGAGCUCACAGGCCCAUCCUGUGGUGUGGAAGCCCUGUUUCCCAAGGGAGGGGGCUUUCAGAUCUAAGGAUUAGUCCCUCGACUCUUACAAGGGGUGGGUGGGGGGGAACACUCAAAAACGGCAUCUAAUUAGAGUUUUAUCAAAGUUGCUUCCAAGAGAGUCCAUUAGAUGUUCCACUGCAGCUUUAGGGGGUUAAAUACAUAUUCCUUGAAGCAGUUAUUAACUAAUCAUGUUGAUCAGGCAUAGGUUUCUGGCUUUAGCUGUCAUCAAAACAAUUUCCACAACAGCACAUCAGUUCAACCUUGAGUAAACACAUGGUUAAUGCCUACGACGUACAAGCCAAAGGAGACAGUCACUUGGGAGCGCUUUUUCCCCAUGAAGAACGGCUGAUUUAGGGCCCAUCUCCUGAUGGCACAGAGCAAGCAGAACCGGGCUUGGAGACCCGACUUGCGACAGGUCACACAAUUCCAUUAGGAAAAGAUCUUCGUAUAAAUGCGCACAAGCCCAAGCUGGCUGAAAAGUGACAAUUGGAAUUUUUGUCGUCACCAAGGAGUAGCAGCAUGAGAUUUUGUGUUUAGAAAGGCAGUUCCGCGGGAGAGUGAGGGCGCGUUUACGAAGGAGAGGCGCGUGCAAGCUCGGCUAAGAGACUUUUAACAGUCCAGGAAAAAGAGGGAAAGCCGGAGGACCUGCUCCGCAGCCUGGGGGAGAUGUGGCAGGUCUGAACUC